Molecule: long non-coding RNA, 1720 nt
Organism: Equus caballus (horse)
Lineage: Eukaryota; Metazoa; Chordata; Mammalia; Perissodactyla; Equidae
Source: Ensembl
ACCGCUUACGAAAACAGACACAAAGAUCUUUAACCAAAGUGCGUCCAAUCACCUCGCCUUCGUCUGUCCGGGCUGCUGUGGCAGGAUACCACAGACUGAGCGGCUUAAACAACAAGCGUGCAUUUCUCACAGUUCCGGAGGCUGGGAAGUCCAAGAUCAAAGUGCCAGCAGAUUGGGCGUGUGUGGAGGGCCGCUGCCUGGUUCACAGGAGGUCGGCUUCUUGCUGUGUCCUCAGGUGAUGAAGGGAUGAGAGAGCUCUCUGGGGUCUCUUUGAUAAGGGCACUAAUCCUAGUCCUGAGGGCUCCACCUGCCCGCCCUCAUCACCUUCUGAAGGCCCCACCUCCUGAGACCAUCACACUGGGGAUCAGGAUUUCAACAUCUGGAUUUCCGGGGAGACACAGACAUUCAGGCUAUAGCACACGUCUCAUCAGAGCCAGCGUCCCUGUCCUGUUCAAACAGAGGAUCCAAGCUCCGACUGAGGAACAGGAGGGGAAAGAACAAACCGCUCCUCCAACCCACUGUGGAGGCCUUCUCUACUCAAUUCCUGAACCUUACACAGCUCUGUAAUUUUGUUUUUUGUCUGAAAGGAUUCGGCUGGUGAUGAAAACAGCCCAUCUUGUCUAAGAGGAGGGACUGGAAAAUAAUGACAAUAGACCCCAGUUGUCCUUGCUUCAACCCAGUGCUUCCUUUACCUCUUUUCCUCUUCUUUUACUUCCCCCAACUCUUUUGUUACCUCUCCCCACUCCCAAAACUUGACAGACAAGAGAAACGAAAACAGCUCUCCAAAAACUGUUCUGACAGCUGCUGGAAUGAGCUUGCACUAAGCAUCCGAGCAAGAGAGGAAAAAGCGGAACAAAUUCCCAACUCUUCCAACCUAACAUUUGUAGAAGCUAAAGAAACUGCGACCUGGGAAAUCCGGCGGUCACACCCCUCUCUCUUCUUUCCCAGAAAAAGUGCAGUUCUGUUUCAGCUCAGAGGUGAUCCACAUCAGCUGAUAAAGCCUUUAACCUCUAUUGGAAUCAUUUUAGCUACAUUUUUUUCUAGACAAGUUGGGCCACUAACUUGACCGCAAUUUUCUAGCAGCCAAAGCAAAGAGUGCCCCAGGAUCGCUUGUGUAAACUACAGUCCCCAGUGGGUCAACAGGAACCAUUUUCUCAAGGCCAGCAGCAGUGUUGGCGGCAAUGAGAUUCAAGGGAAAUCUGUCCCUUGAGUCAUCCUAGGGUUCAUAUUACACAGACACCCUCAGCAGACCUCUCUAAGUAGCAGUUUGCUUUCUCAUCUGUUAAAGGGGGGAAUUAGAGUAACCUACCUGAUCAGGUUUCUGUCCUGAAUGAGACCACCGUCCAUAUAAAGGACCUGGCAGAGUGCCUGGCACACAGUACGUCCGCAAUAAAUCUUAGCCUCGUGACUUUGUAACAGGUAAGAGCACAAGCCGUGCAAUCCUGAUUUCAGGGCGAGUACAGCAUUUCCCUACAUCCUUACAAUGCAAACAGAGGGGGCCUGUGCCAAGAUAACACAACCCAAGAUGCCAUCAGGAAGCACACACAGGGAAAACUACGAUCUGCUGUCUGGAAAAGAUAUAUCACGGGACACUCACUGAACUGACGAAAGGGACUCAAAUUUCUAGAGGUGGCUCUUCAGUGAUGCUGCGGUCCGGGCGCUUAUCUGACUAUUCAGUUGGGAUACAGUCUACUCUAUUCAACAAGGAGCAAAAAUACAU